Long non-coding RNA from Cuculus canorus (common cuckoo), 1191 nucleotides. RefSeq lists it as uncharacterized. The transcript is spliced from 9 exons. The record is from RefSeq and is a predicted model, not a curated record. NCBI's taxonomy places the organism in Eukaryota, Metazoa, Chordata, Aves, Cuculiformes, Cuculidae.
CAAAGCCAUAUGGAAUAGAAAAGAGCUUUAUUUUGACAUUUAAGUUGCUUGGUGGGCAUGACCAGGGUAUCUUCUCUGGUCACCUCUGUGCCACUGCAGCACACAUGUACGCUAGCCUGGCUUGGCUUUGUCAUAUGACAGCAGAAACAUGGACUGUCCCCGGGAUUGACUGAAAAAACACGGGUGGAUUGUCCUGCCUCAAAUGAAUUGCCCUCCUCUUUAAAACCAGGCAUGUAAAUGGACACCUUUCAAAGCCCAAAAUAGUCAGUGGUUAGUCAAUGCCUUUAAGUAAAACACUUCAGAUAGUGAAGGGGAGAUGGUCCAGAAGAUCUAAAGAUGUCACUAUAUACUUUUAUAUCCUUGGGACUUGAAAAUUCUCUGUUCCGAAAUUAUUCGGGAGUGUCUGAAGGAAAUCGAUUCACCCUGAGACAAGGAGACCAUUCAUUCUUCCCUCAGUCUGAUGGAUAAAUUUCCAGAAAGGGCCUCUGGGAGCUCCUCUGGAUCACCCUCUGGCUUAUCAAUUACAAACCAGCCUCUUUGGAUGCGUUGUCUGUGACGAGUGAUUUCCAGAAAAACAGGCUCAGUGGAGUCAUGGAACAAUAAUGAAAGUUAACUGGCCGAAGGAAAAAACUUGAUGAUCCACCACAGAGCCACGUGGACCGAGGACACAUCCUGACAUGCCCUGCUGUAACCUCUGCCGCUGAAGCAUUUAUGGAAGCUGAUAAGUCUUGGAAUUAAUGUCCAAAACUAAAAUUACGAACGCAAGGAUGAAAUGUAUCUUGUGUCCCUUCUCAUGUGUAUAUAUACUCACCGUCAUGUAGGCAAUUCUAACCACUGAGUUCGUAAAAUGGUGAUUGAUUCCAGAGGAAGAGAGUAAUGUUGCAAAUACAGAAUUGCAGCUUCACGCCUGGCUUAAACUGUAGAAGAAACUGGAUUCAAAAGCUCUUCAGAUGAACAAAGAACUUCCUUUAGAAGUCUGUUUCAGAGCUAAGGAAAAUCAAGGCUGUAAUUAUAUUUGAAGUCUUGCAUCAUGUAUCAACAAUUGGACAAUAUUCAGUGUGCCAUUUGGAUUCUGGUGGUGUUAAAAAUAAAUAAAUAAAUGAAUAUGUAAACCCCAAGCCACCAAAGACCGAAACCCAAAUCCACAAAGUCCACAGAUGAGGAAGGACUCCAUCUCUCACUUUUAAAGAA